UACGAAGGGGGCUAGCGUUGUUCGGAAUUACUGGGCGUAAAGCGCGCGCAGGCGGCUAUCCAAGUCAGUGGUGAAAGCCCGGAGCUCAACUCCGGAAUUGCCAUUGAAACUGUUUAGCUUGAGUACGAGAGAGGUGAGUGGAAUUCCCAGUGUAGAGGUGAAAUUCGUAGAUAUUGGGAAGAACACCGGUGGCGAAGGCGGCUCACUGGCUCGUAACUGACGCUGAGGAACGAAAGCCAGGGGAGCGAAUGGG
This 253-nucleotide ribosomal RNA is filed under the name uncultured prokaryote. RNAcentral describes it as "partial 16S ribosomal RNA". It matches the Rfam family "Bacterial small subunit ribosomal RNA", at positions 524 to 776 of the family's 1533-position model. The record is from RNAcentral.